AGAGUUUGAUCCUGGCUCAGGAUGAACGCUGGCGGUCUGCUUAACACAUGCAAGUCGAACGGUGAACCCUCGGGUUCAUAGUGGCGGACGGGUGAGUAACACGUGAGAAUCUGCCUCCAGGUCAGGGACAACAGUGGGAAACUGCUGCUAAUACCUGAUGUGCCUAAGGGUGAAAGAUUAAUUGCCUGGAGAUGAGCUCGCGUCCGAUUAGCUAGUUGGUAAGGUAAAAGCUUACCAAGGCUCCGAUCGGUAGCUGGUCUGAGAGGAUGAGCAGCCACACUGGGACUGAGACACGGCCCAGACUCCUACGGGAGGCAGCAGUGGGGAAUUUUCCGCAAUGGGCGAAAGCCUGACGGAGCAAGACCGCGUGGGGGAUGAAGGCUCUUGGGUUGUAAACCCCUUUUCUCAGGGAAGAAUAACUGACGGUACCUGAGGAAUAAGCAUCGGCUA
Molecule: ribosomal RNA, 450 nt
Filed under: uncultured bacterium
Lineage: Bacteria
Description: bacterial SSU rRNA
Rfam family: Bacterial small subunit ribosomal RNA
Source: RNAcentral